UACGUAGGGGGCAAGCGUUGUCCGGAUUUAUUGGGCGUAAAGAGCGUGUAGGCGGCCAAGUAAGUCUGCUGUGAAAACUCGAGGCUCAACCUCGAGCUGUCGGCGGAAACUAUUUGGCUAGAGUCCGGAAGAGGAGAAUGGAAUUCCCGGUGUAGCGGUGAAAUGCGCAGAUAUCGGGAAGAACACCCGUGGCGAAGGCGGUUCUCUGGGACGGUACUGACGCUGAGACGCGAAAGCGUGGGGAGCGAACAGG
RNAcentral lists this ribosomal RNA (253 nucleotides) under uncultured bacterium. RNAcentral describes it as "partial 16S ribosomal RNA". It matches the Rfam family "Bacterial small subunit ribosomal RNA", at positions 524 to 776 of the family's 1533-position model. The record is from RNAcentral.